Non-coding RNA from Misgurnus anguillicaudatus (oriental weatherfish), 788 nucleotides. The record is from RefSeq and is a predicted model, not a curated record. NCBI's taxonomy places the organism in Eukaryota, Metazoa, Chordata, Actinopteri, Cypriniformes, Cobitidae.
AAACGUUGGGUUGUUUUUUCAACCCAACUGCUGGGUUGAGCCAGUUGGGUUAUUUUGUUGGGUUGUUUUAUCAGUGUUGGGUAGUUUUUGUGUAACCCAACUUGUUGGGUUAUAUAUUGGGUAAUUUUGAAGCAGAGCCAACUUAAUAGAUACAUAUAGCUGUUUCUCAAUAUUACUUUCUCUAGUCCACAAAAUGUAUUUUAAACAUAAGUUCAGGCGAGAAUAUGAACGCGGGAAUUUACCAUCACCUCAGGAUUCAUACACGGUUUUUCAUCGACUUAUCUUUGAUUUAUUUGAAGGAAAAGACCCUGAUGGAUAAAAGAUUGGAUAUUUUUUCCUGGAGAAGCUAAAACAAUGUCACUUUGAGGUUCUGAUACCAGCUUUUACAAAGUUAUUUACAGAGUUCACAAGAGUUCUCUGUGUUAUUUCCUGACAAUGCCGAAAAGCUAUUUGAAACUUGGGCACUGCAUUUUACAGACAGAAUCCUGCAACUUCCCAGCCAAGAACCAGGAGCAUCAACAAAUCACCUCCAGAACCCCAUGAUGAUAUUCCAACUCCUGUCUACAAAAGUGGGAAGAAAAUUUUAAGUCUAUGUUGGGACCAACAUGGUUGCAUUCUUCUGAGAGGCUGAGGUGACAAAACCAUUCCCAUUUGUCCUUGGAUUGGAAGAUGGCGAUCUCUGCCAUCAAGCCUUCAUUGUUUUUGACAGACAGUCACUCCAGCAAUACACCCUCCUUGGUGAUGUUGACAUGUUUUAAACUUUUUUUAUGUUUUGGACAUUCAUUUUA